UAUGACUUGAAAAAGAUCUCGUACUUACACCUGAGGGCCAGUCAGGUCGGACCCCCUCGCCGCAAGCCCUGGUUCGGCUGGUCCUUUCUUUCUUGGGAAUCGCGUGACAUGGUCUGGCUGUUGCGGGUAACCAGGACUUUUACUGUGAAAUAAAUAAAGUGUUCAAGGGCGGCCUUUGCUCUGAUCCAUUAGUGUGGAAUAAGAAAAAAGGAGGGGCGGUUCUUUUUUGUUGGUUUCUAGGACCGCCGUAAUGAUUAAUAGGGAUAGUCGGGGGCGUCUCUUUUCAGAUGUGAAAGGUGAAAUUCUUGGAUUUGCUGACAACUAGCUACUGCCAAAGCAUUCGCCAAGGAUGUUUUCAUUAAUCAGGGAACGAAAGUUAGGGGAUAGAAGACGAACAGAUUCCGUCCUACUCUUAACCACAAACUAUGCCAACGAGGGAUCGGGAGGGGAUUCUAUGAUGACCCGCUCGGCACCUUACGAGAAAUCCUAGUUUUUGGGUUCUGGGAGGAGCUAUCGCCGCGAGGCUGAAACUUAAAGACAUUGACGGACGGCCACCACGAGGCGUGCAGUCUGCUGCUUACUUUGACUCAACACUGUCAGACUCACCAGGUACAGACAAGGUAAUGAUUGACAGAUCGAGAGCUCUUUCUUGAUCUUGUGUAUGGUGGUGCAUGGACGUUCUUAGUUGGGGGAGUGGUUUCUCUGGUUAAAUGCAAUAACAAAACAACACCUCAGCUCUUAAAUACCCUCUGUCUGUCGUAGGCGGCAGCUGACAUCUUUAGGGGACUAUCUGCUUCAGCCGAGUGGAAGUACGUGCAGAAUAGGCUGUGAUGACGCUUAGAGAUCUGCGCGCAACCGCACAUAGAG
Molecule: ribosomal RNA, 867 nt
Filed under: uncultured fungus
Lineage: Eukaryota; Fungi
Description: bacterial SSU rRNA
Rfam family: Eukaryotic small subunit ribosomal RNA
Source: RNAcentral